RNAcentral lists this ribosomal RNA (2369 nucleotides) under Triticum aestivum (bread wheat). RNAcentral describes it as "partial small subunit ribosomal RNA". The record is from RNAcentral. Lineage: Eukaryota; Viridiplantae; Streptophyta; Magnoliopsida; Poales; Poaceae.
GAAGAGGAGGGGGUCGUAUCCGAUACCAGGGCAGCGGGUCAUCUUGUUAAAUGAUGUCCCUUCUCUCUCCCUCCUUCUUUCGAUAGUUGCCGCUGCGCCGCCAGGUCGUCUAGGCAUGACGAGCCCCCUAGACCCCCUUCCCUCUUGGCCACCCCCGGCGGAUACGCAGCCACUCCCGGGUCAGCCGCGAUCUCGUCCUUACCGCCGCCGCCACAACCCCUCUCCCUCCACCGCUGGCCACCAGCAGCGACACAACUACCAACAACGCCCCCACCCGGUACAGCAGCGGUUGUGCCUCCCACUACGAGACAUAUUGGACGCAGUCUCAGACUUCCUAUCGUUAUUACAUAACGUCUCAACCCUAGGGUGAGAACAAUUAGGAACAUGUACCAAAGUACAAUGUACAUUGUUGCUAUUGUCACAUUAAUCUCAACUGGAACCUUUACGUGUUAAUAGGCCACAUGAUCACAGGGUCGAACCCGUCGACUUUUUAGAGGUUAUAAACCUCGAAAUGUCGUUGUUGUAUUCACCCGGUUAUGGACGACUUGACCCGUUGGAUUGAUCGGACCAGUCAAACCUAAACAUAGACUUGUUCAAGUGUCCUCAAUAAGGACUGUCGGACCCCUUAGAAAACUUCGAAGCUAAGGAGGCAGAAUUGUUGUUGUCGUACAGCCCAGUUUAAGGAUUUAGGAACUGACUAUAGUGAUGAGAAGUUCAUGAGCUAGAGAGUUUGUUGUUGGAGAGUCCUCGUCAAGGUAGAUGACCGAGGAAAAGCGAGAAGUGGGGAUAUUCAAAACGCUUAUUAGGUGAAGAAACACCAGGACCAUGGUGUUUUGGGACGGGACCCCUAGGAGGAAAAAGGGGUGGAGGAGGUAUGUUAGGAGGUUGUGGUGGUUGAGUUAGUCGUCCACGGAGAUCGUGACCUCGAUAGCGUCCACCGCAACGACGACCACGACGUGACCACAAACGACAAGGACGAUAACGUAAACGUUACACCGCGGCAGCAUUUGGACUUCUUGUAAAGAAGCUACACGGACGGCUCCUUCUAGGUCUUCAAGUAGAACCAGUCGAAUUCUUCAAGAGUAACGCUCUCGAAGUUCAACGUAGACUGUUGAAAUUAUUAUUCUUGUAAAAUCCUUCUCCACCAAAACCUUUUCACAUGUUCCCCUCCGAACGUCUACCAUGUAACCAUCGCCACUUUUCUGAUUUUCUCCUUGCAUGGGGACCACCGCUCGAAGUCAAGGUUUGUCUUCAACUCUACUAAUCGUACCGUCACGUAUCCUUGGAAGAGGCUGAAGCACCAAAAACGUACUGUGGAUGACUUGCUAAUGAUCAGAUAGGUAUGUACCGGUUACCGUCACAACGUAGUGCAAACGCUCUCGCAGUCGGUAGACUUGGUGGGGAACUAACCCUAUGGUCUUCUGCUUAACGUGAACCUAGACGUUCCCCUGAGAGAAUGAACGUGCUAGUGACACUAGGGUUCUAGUAGGUGGCACUACAGUUUCGACGUUUAUAAGAAAACCUGCUCCUAAAGCUCCGCCAACACCCACUAAAACCCGAACGGUUUGAAUACCUAAUGUUCCUAUGAGUACAUUGAUGACGACAAGCACCUUGUUAACCUGUGUAACGAGGACUCAUGGAUAGGUGACCUUUCAGGAGACUCUUCUGACUACAAAAGCCGAUGCCUUAGUGUGAAGACCUCGAAUAAUGACCCGUCUCCCGUAAACUAGAACGAGCGGAACGUUUACUACUGCUACAAUACGAAGAACUGACCCACUUUCCUAACAACUUCCUCUUUUUUCAACUCUACGACCACCUGGGUCUGAACGUCUCGUUGAUACUUCUCUGGCUCCACCUUAGAGACUAGGUCCAUCGCGACGACACGUGCGUCCCGAGCGGUCACCUCGCGGGGUUCUACAGCCUCCAGCACUCCUACGACCUUCCACUGCCGAACCGUCUCUCUACCCUCCUUACCGUCUUCCACCUCCACCAGUCCGUCCUCCGUCUCAACCGAGGAGAAGCGUUGCUGACCUAACAACUGAGGUGUAUAUUGGAGGCGCGGCACCUUGACAGACCGGGUUCUACUGGUUGCAGGACCGUAUCCGUUUUUAGUGGUAAACUAGUCAGUAAGUCGGAUUAACAACAAACACUUAUACUUUCCAUCGAACAUGAGAAAACAAAUUACUGUUAAAAUUUCCUACGUAAAAGGGGGGUAAGAGGAGGUGUGACUCUUCAAUACGAUCCGACGUCAGUAAACAAUUCCACUUUCCGUAUGUAAAACACAACUUAAACGUUCCGUGACAACAUAGUUAGACUAUUUUCACGUUACACAAUAAGACACUAGGGAAACAGCCACGUAUCUGUAAGUA